This 237-nucleotide ribosomal RNA is filed under the name uncultured bacterium. RNAcentral describes it as "partial 16S ribosomal RNA". It matches the Rfam family "Bacterial small subunit ribosomal RNA", at positions 118 to 354 of the family's 1533-position model. The record is from RNAcentral.
UGAGUGACCUGCCGAUUUGCGGGGGAUAGCCGGGCCAACGCCCGGGUAAUACCGCAUACGCUCUUCUUGGGGCAUCUCUAGAAGAGGAAACCUCCGGGGCAAAUCGAGGGACUCGCGGCCUAUCAGCUAGUUGGCGAGGUAACGGCUCACCAAGGCAACGACGGGUAGCUGGUCUGAGAGGAUGGCCAGCCACAUUGGGACUGAGAUACGGCCCAGACUCCUACGGGAGGCAGCAGG